Molecule: long non-coding RNA, 1435 nt
Filed under: Homo sapiens (human)
Lineage: Eukaryota; Metazoa; Chordata; Mammalia; Primates; Hominidae
Description: HSALNT0073055
Source: RNAcentral
AUGAAAUAUUAGUUCUGGUUGCUAGUGCAGAUCUGGACUCGGAUCAAGGGUGUCGAGAGGGUCCUGGGUCCUGUUCCUUUGCCUUUCAAAAAGACUUUUUACGGAUUGAGAAUUUUUAAAUACCACUAGGGGAAAGGUGAAGGUUCUUUGCAGCCUUCAGUGUUGAAAUGGACGAAGGUAAGGAAGGCAAAUCAUUUUAAGACGAAAUCUCCGAUUUUUUAAAAAAGGAGGAAAAAAGCAGGGUGGCUAAGGAUAAAGAAAGAGGACUUGAGAAAAUGUGGAGAAUGAAAAACAGGAGAGCAGCGAGCAAAAGCAAAGAUCCAGAGUUCAAAGAGACUGGCAGAAGGAAAUAGCUGCGGGCUGAGUGCUGAAGAGGGGAGGGACUGACGGCUGCCGGCCGGUAGGAGCGCGGAGCUGCGCUGCGGCGGCCCAGGAGCUGCUGCGGUUCCCGCUGCUCGGGGAGCAGGCGGUGUGUGCGCGGCUGCGAAGUCGAGGUUGAAACUGCACCGCCAAGGCGCGCUCCUGCUGUGUCUGGAGCUCCGGCGUCUCCUCUGCCUCCCAGCUCAGCGCCUCCCACCCUCCUUCCCUCCUCCUCUUCCCAGCUCCCCCGCCCUCUGCUGCUCGCAGCCUCGCCAGUGAGAAUCUACUGUAAGUGUGAGUUGCUUCGACGAAGUCACACACCCACGGAGGGAAGUAAUCUGGAGGCUGCCUUGGCAUGUACAGGAAGCCUUCCUGCAGACAUCCACAGUGAACAAGUCUAAGGACAAUAGCUUUCGUUGGCCCCCAAUAGAAGGCAUUUUUAGUGAUGUGUGGCCUCACCACUUAAAUCCAGUUUAUUGAAUCUGAAGUGAUUUGCUCCUCUUUCUGGACUACACAAUAAACACCCUCCAACGUCCCCAGCCAUGCUCUUCCCAUCAUUUGGCUGAAAGGGGAGGAAUUCAAGGCCUUAGAGUGGGGAAGCUACAAUUUGGAAGAAUCCUGGAAGCACAGAUUACCCUGUGAAGCAGCAUCCCCAUGAGGGUCUCUUUCUUCUGUGAUAUAAGCAAGAAAUAAAUGAAUUGUGCAAAUCCAGUGAGAUUUAGUCAUCUCUGUGUUAAAUCAGUUAGCUACUCUGGCUCAUACAUCAUCUUCUGGCUGCUUUUGACUCAUAGCUUGGUUAAGAUGAGGUUAUCUAAGGUGUUCAUCAUUUCAAACCGUCCUUCUUAAUAUUGCCAAGAUAAUUUUUACGUCAAACAGCCAUUUAAUGGCAGCUUAUUUCUAAAUUAUUCCUAUCUUUCACAGUCUUAAUAUAGUUCACAUUAUGACCCUAACUCCAUUGAUAUUUUAUUUUUAUUUUUAUUAUUUAUUUAUUAUUUAUCUAUCUAUUUUUGAGACAGUCUCACUCUAUCAUCCAGGCUGGAGUGCAAUGGUGUGAUCUCGGCUCACUGCAUCCUUG